RNAcentral lists this ribosomal RNA (634 nucleotides) under uncultured bacterium. RNAcentral's name for it is "bacterial SSU rRNA". The stretch from base 1 to 544 matches the Rfam family "Bacterial small subunit ribosomal RNA", at positions 338 to 873 of the family's 1533-position model. The record is from RNAcentral.
CCUACGGGAGGCAGCAGUGGGGAAUAUUGGACAAUGGGCGCAAGCCUGAUCCAGCCAUACCGCGUGGGUGAAGAAGGCCUUCGGGUUGUAAAGCCCUUUUGUUGGGAAAGAAAUCCAGCCGGCUAAUACCUGGUUGGGAUGACGGUACCCAAAGAAUAAGCACCGGCUAACUUCGUGCCAGCAGCCGCGGUAAUACGAAGGGUGCAAGCGUUACUCGGAAUUACUGGGCGUAAAGCGUGCGUAGGUGGUUAUUUAAGUCCGUUGUGAAAGCCCUGGGCUCAACCUGGGAACUGCAGUGGAUACUGGAUGACUAGAAUGUGGUAGAGGGUAGCGGAAUUCCUGGUGUAGCAGUGAAAUGCGUAGAGAUCAGGAGGAACAUCCAUGGCGAAGGCAGCUACCUGGACCAACAUUGACACUGAGGCACGAAAGCGUGGGGAGCAAACAGGAUUAGAUACCCUGGUAGUCCACGCCCUAAACGAUGCGAACUGGAUGUUGGGUGCAAUUUGGCACGCAGUAUCGAAGCUAACGCGUUAAGUUCGCCGCCUGGGGGAGGUACGGUCGGUCGAGACGAGUAAACGUUAAAGUUAAGUAGUUAGGCGGCGNGAGAGCGACGACGACGACGACGGAGGAGGAG